RNAcentral lists this ribosomal RNA (501 nucleotides) under uncultured bacterium. RNAcentral describes it as "partial 16S ribosomal RNA". It matches the Rfam family "Bacterial small subunit ribosomal RNA", at positions 28 to 507 of the family's 1533-position model. The record is from RNAcentral.
GACGAACGCUGGCGGCGUGCCUAAUACAUGCAAGUCGAGCGGACCGGAUUGGGGCUUGCCUUGAUUCGGUCAGCGGCGGACGGGUGAGUAACACGUGGGCAACCUGCCCGCAAGACCGGGAUAACUCCGGGAAACCGGAGCUAAUACCGGAUAACACCGAAGACCGCAUGGUCUUCGGUUGAAAGGCGGCCUUUGGGCUGUCACUUGCUGAUGGGCCCGCGGCGCAUUAGCUAGUUGGUGAGGUAACGGCUCACCAAGGCGACGAUGCGUAGCCGGCCUGAGAGGGUGACCGGCCACACUGGGACUGAGACACGGCCCAGACUCCUACGGGAGGCAGCAGUAGGGAAUCUUCCGCAAUGGGCGAAAGCCUGACGGAGCGACGCCGCGUGAGCGAAGAAGGCCUUCGGGUCGUAAAGCUCUGUUGUGAGGGACGAAGGAGCGUCGUUCGAAGAGGGCGGCGCGGUGACGGUACCUCACGAGAAAGCCCCGGCUAACUACGUG